GACAGAGGGUGCAAACGUUGUUCGGAAUUACUGGGCGUAAAGCGAGUGUAGGCGGUUUGGAAAGUCGGAUGUGAAAGCCCCGGGCUCAACCCGGGAAGUGCACUCGAUACUCCCAAGCUAGAGUAUCGGAGAGGUUGGUGGAAUUCUCGGUGUAGAGGUGAAAUUCGUAGAUAUCGAGAGGAACAUCGGUGGCGAAGGCGGCCAACUGGACGAAUACUGACGCUGAGACUCGAAAGCGUGGGGAGCAAACAGG
This 253-nucleotide ribosomal RNA is filed under the name uncultured bacterium. Its description in RNAcentral is "partial 16S ribosomal RNA". It matches the Rfam family "Bacterial small subunit ribosomal RNA", at positions 524 to 776 of the family's 1533-position model. The record is from RNAcentral.